GGCACGGGGCGCCCCUGACUGUCUCUCGUUAAAGGAGGAGGCUGUGUAAGAAAGGAGGCAGGUGUUGGUGAGAAGCACGCGCAAGGCAUCCAUUUCAGGCCCCCAGAGCAGUCUGGCCUGGGGUUCAGUGUCACCAGGGAUAUUUCUUUGACUCUUUAGUGUAGGAGGGAGGCGCCGAGACAAAAGAAAGAUGAGAAAGCAAUGAGGGGAGCUUUUACUUGGGACCUAAUUCUGACCCACAAGGCAGAACUUGUUGGAAGGACUGGAAGGCCAAACCCUAAUUUGAGACUCCAGGAAUGAACCCCAGGCUUCUCAUCACUGACCUUCCAGAGAACUUGCCACCUCUACAGCAGUCAAGAACUUGAGGAGUCUGGAAGCCACUGCUACAAUGUUGAAUCAAGAAACACGCUCUUCAGCUGG
Molecule: long non-coding RNA, 420 nt
Organism: Leopardus geoffroyi (Geoffroy's cat)
Lineage: Eukaryota; Metazoa; Chordata; Mammalia; Carnivora; Felidae
Exons: 3
Source: RefSeq, a predicted model, not a curated record